GGACUACUGGGGUUUCUAAUCCCGUUCGCUCCCCACGCUUUCGCGUCUCAGCGUCAGGCGCGGCCCAGGAAGCCGCCUUCGCCACGGGUGUUCCUGCUGAUCUCUACGCAUUUCACCGCUACACCAGCAAUUCCACUUCCCUCUGCCGCCCUCAAGAAACGCAGUUUCCAGCGACCUUCCCCCGUUGAGCGGGGGGCUUUCACACCGGACUUUCGUUCCCGCCUACACGCGCUUUACGCCCAGUAAAUCCGGACAACGCUUGCCCCCUACGUAUUACCGCGGCUGCUGGCAC
This 292-nucleotide ribosomal RNA is filed under the name uncultured bacterium. RNAcentral describes it as "partial 16S ribosomal RNA". The record is from RNAcentral.